UGUUGGAUUUAAAGCUCUGUUUUGGGCAGU
This 30-nucleotide non-coding RNA is filed under the name Mus musculus (house mouse). Lineage: Eukaryota; Metazoa; Chordata; Mammalia; Rodentia; Muridae. The record is from RNAcentral.